RNAcentral lists this ribosomal RNA (254 nucleotides) under uncultured bacterium. RNAcentral's name for it is "partial 16S ribosomal RNA". It matches the Rfam family "Bacterial small subunit ribosomal RNA", at positions 74 to 334 of the family's 1533-position model. The record is from RNAcentral.
CAAACCAAAGCUGGCGACCGGCGCACGGGUGAGUAACACGUAUCCAACCUGCCUCAUACUCGGGGGUAGCCUUUCGAAAGAAAGAUUAAUAUCCGAUAGCAUAUAUUUCCCGCAUGGGUUUUAUAUUAAAGAAAUUCGGUAUGAGAUGGGGAUGCGUUCCAUUAGUUUGUUGGGGGGUAACGGCCCACCAAGACUACGAUGGAUAGGGGUUCUGAGAGGAAGGUCCCCCACAUUGGAACUGAGACACGGUCCAA